RNAcentral lists this long non-coding RNA (925 nucleotides) under Bos taurus (domestic cattle). RNAcentral's name for it is "long non-coding RNA NONBTAT002779". Lineage: Eukaryota; Metazoa; Chordata; Mammalia; Artiodactyla; Bovidae. The record is from RNAcentral.
GUCUGAUUGUCUAAACUGCAAUCUAAUUGUCUGUUCACAGAGACCCUACGUUGUAAAUAUUGGCAAAGGGAGAAAAAUAACUGUUAAAUUGGAAGUUAUCCUUUAGCAGAAAUCAGUUCCUUUGGCAUGCAUUUUAUUUAUUUGGCCUGCUUAAUAUGUCUGUAAAUAACUGAAUAUAAAACAAAUUCAGUGCAGCAGAGCUGGUGCUUCUGACACAGCUAACUUGACCAUAUUCCUUUAUCUUCACUUUAGCAUGAGUGUUUUUAACUAUAAAGUAAGUGCAAUAAAAAAAAAAAAUUAAGGGUAUGUUUUUUUAAAAAAUCACUGAACUUUUAGAAAUCCCUCAUUUAUAUCUCCAUUCCUGCCUUAUUAUCAACCAGCGACUACAAAGAAAGAAAAUGAACAAGUAGACUGAGUCUUACCUUUUUCUAACCUAAGAUAAAUUUUCACUUGACAUUUGGAGGAGUCAUAACUGGAUUCUAGUUAAUUUCCCAUAUUGGGCUGGUUAGAAGGAACCAGCCAACAAAAUUAUGAUCUAGCAAAUUUAACAAGGAGGUGAGGGAGAGGAAGCUAUUUUACAGUCGAUUUGCACUUUAAAAUGAACUGGAUGUUGGUGAAAAGUACUCUCAAAGGGCAGAUGGGUAAAUACCCAGCCUGCAUGUGGAUAUUAGAGAAUUAAAGUUCAUCCUUGCUUGUUCUGAGCCCACCGGAGCAGUAGUUCUGUGUCAUCAUAAUCAGAGUCAGGAUUUCCUUAUUUCCCUAGUUGGUGUCAUCUUCCAUGUCUGCUACAUGAAGUCAUCCCUCUGGGGGAUUUAUUAAGUAGAAUUCUGCUACUCAGAAUGGAAACUUUGUGAGUUAUCUUUCCUACAUCUAGAUUUAAAAAGUUAAUUUAGAUGUUGGCUAGAUUAAGUUGUGGCUAAUGUUA